UCGACUGACAGCUGGGAAAUCCAUGGAUGGGAGACUUUAAAUGUGGAGCCUUGAAGGAUCAUUGGCUGAGGAUUAUUGCAGACUUGAAGCUGAUUGGUUGGCGUGGAGACGCACGGAGAAGCCAUUGGGUGAAGCUGGAGGAGGGGUGCUGCGCUGUGAUUGGCUGAGCUCUGUUUUGACUGAGAUGUCUCCAGAGUGACAGAUUGAUGUGAUGCAGCUACUGUGAUACACUUCCGAUGUAAUCUCCUAAGUGUUGGGACCACAGCCAUGGAUACAACAUGAUGGGCCAGUAUGAGCUUUUCUGGAACUUUCAAAAUAAAUCGCAUUAACCUACUUCCAGCACAGCCAGAAACGGGGUAACAGCAGAC
Girardinichthys multiradiatus is the source of this 368-nucleotide long non-coding RNA. RefSeq lists it as uncharacterized. The transcript is spliced from 3 exons. The record is from RefSeq and is a predicted model, not a curated record. Lineage: Eukaryota; Metazoa; Chordata; Actinopteri; Cyprinodontiformes; Goodeidae.